RNAcentral lists this ribosomal RNA (235 nucleotides) under uncultured bacterium. Its description in RNAcentral is "partial 16S ribosomal RNA". It matches the Rfam family "Bacterial small subunit ribosomal RNA", at positions 82 to 334 of the family's 1533-position model. The record is from RNAcentral.
CACCUUCGGGUGAGUGGCAGACGGGUGAGUAACGCGUGGGAACCUACCUAGUAGUACGGAAUAACUCAGGGAAACUUGUGCUAAUACCGUAUACGCCCUUCGGGGGAAAGAUUUAUCGCUAUUAGAUGGGCCCGCGUUGGAUUAGCUUGUUGGUGAGGUAAUGGCUCACCAAGGCUACGAUCCAUAGCUGGUCUGAGAGGAUGAUCAGCCACACAGGGACUGAGACACGGCCCAG